RNAcentral lists this ribosomal RNA (393 nucleotides) under uncultured bacterium. RNAcentral's name for it is "partial 16S ribosomal RNA". It matches the Rfam family "Bacterial small subunit ribosomal RNA", at positions 523 to 918 of the family's 1533-position model. The record is from RNAcentral.
AUACGGAGGAUUCGCGCGUUAUCCGGAUUUAUUGGGUUUAAAGGGAGCGUAGGUGGGAUAUUAAGUCAGCUGUGAAAGUUUGGGGCUCAACCUUAAAAUUGCAGUUGAUACUGGUUUCCUUGAGUACGGUACAGGUGGGCGGAAUUCGUGGGGUAGCGGUGAAAUGCUUAGAUAUCACGAAGAACUCCGAUCGCGAAGGCAGCUCACCGGGCCGGAACUGACACUGAUGCUCGAAAGUGCGGGUAUCAAACAGGAUUAGAUACCCUGGUAGUCCGCACAGUAAACGAUGAAUACUCGCUGUUUGCGAUACACGGUAAGCGGCCAAGCGAAAGCGUUAAGUAUUCCACCUGGGGAGUACGCCGGCAACGGUGAAACUCAAAGGAAUCGGCGGGG